Long non-coding RNA from Ictalurus punctatus (channel catfish), 634 nucleotides. Lineage: Eukaryota; Metazoa; Chordata; Actinopteri; Siluriformes; Ictaluridae. The record is from Ensembl.
UUUGUGUGUUGUACUUUAUUUUUCAGGGUUAGUAUGUUUGAAUGGUGGGUGUAGAAUUUAACAGACAGGACAGUCAAUGAGAACAACAGACAAGACAGGACAGCAGACGCGACAUGGACAUUGUGCAAGCCAGGACGGUGGGUUGAGAGGUCGGGGGGAAUGGGGGGUGAGAAGUUGUUGGGGUGUCGGUUGUGUUAAUUAAUACGUAUAACAGAAUGUUGUGUGUAUGUGUGUGUAAUUUAGCUGCAUGUGUUUGUGAGCAUUGUUCUUGAGAUGUGUGGUAUGGCUUUGAUUAUGUGGUUUGUCUGUAGGGACUGUAUUGCUAGAGAUUGUGAGGUGAUUCCCUGGUGUAUGUAGGUGAUGAGUGGUGUCCAAAUAGAGUCAAAUUUGGUAGCUUUAGUUUUGAUCGAGGCAGAGAUUUUUUCCAUUGUUAAGUAGUUGAUUAUUAGGUUUUUAUAAUGGGUGAUAUUAAUGUUAUUCUUUGAUUUCCAGUCUGACAGCUUGGCAGAGAUCUUUGAAACCAAGAUAAGUGAUGUAGUGAGUGCACAUGGGGAUAGGUAGAAAUUGAACAGUUGAGUAGUGAACAAUUGCCUUGUAUAGUAUUGAACAAUUAACUUGUAUAGUAGUGAACAAU